GGACUAUUUCUUGAUAAAAUCUAAGGGUGAUUAUUCUGCCAUGUCAUUCUUGAAAUUUUUUUUGAAAAAAUCUUUCUUAAUAUAUAGCAUUGCUCUAUUUAUUAACAAGUGUUUUUUUUUUUUUUGACAAAUUUAUCAACAAGUAUUUUAGAAAGAAAAAAAGAACAUUUUGUAUUGAAUUUUUUAUUUUAGACUUUUUAAAACGUUGACUAAAUAUCUUAGAAUAGCGAUAAUUAAUAAAGAGCAAUGCUAUAUAUCAAGAAAGAUUUUUUCAAAAAAAUUUCAAGAAUGACAUGGCAGAAUAAUCACCCUUAGAUUUUAUCAAGAAAUAGUCCU
Molecule: microRNA precursor, 336 nt
Filed under: Medicago truncatula (barrel medic)
Lineage: Eukaryota; Viridiplantae; Streptophyta; Magnoliopsida; Fabales; Fabaceae
Description: miR2598 stem-loop (mtr-MIR2598)
Source: miRBase by way of RNAcentral